RNAcentral lists this ribosomal RNA (342 nucleotides) under uncultured bacterium. Its description in RNAcentral is "bacterial SSU rRNA". It matches the Rfam family "Bacterial small subunit ribosomal RNA", at positions 32 to 352 of the family's 1533-position model. The record is from RNAcentral.
AAUCAACGCUGGCGGCGUGCCUAACACAUGCAAGUCGCGCGCGAAAGGGGGGGCAACUCCCAAGUAGAGCGGCGAAACGGGUGAGUAACACGUGGGUAAUCUACCUUCGAGUGGGGAACAACACCGGGAAACUGGUGCUAAUUCCGCAUAACAUCGUCGGGGCUUCGGUUCUGACGCUCAAAGCGUGGGGAUCGCAAGACCUAGCGCUUGAAGAUGAGCCCGCGUCCGAUUAGCUAGUUGGGCGGGGUAAUGGCCCACCAAGGCUUCGAUCGGUAGCCGGCCUGAGAGGGCGGACGGCCACACUGGAACUGAGACACGGUCCAGACUCCUACGGGAGGCAGC